RNAcentral lists this ribosomal RNA (254 nucleotides) under uncultured bacterium. RNAcentral's name for it is "partial 16S ribosomal RNA". It matches the Rfam family "Bacterial small subunit ribosomal RNA", at positions 524 to 776 of the family's 1533-position model. The record is from RNAcentral.
CACGUAGGGGGCGAGCGUUGUCCGGAUUUAUUGGGCGUAAAGAGCUCGUAGGCGGCUCAGUAAGUCGGGUGUGAAAACUCCAGGCUCAACCUGGAGACGCCACCCGAUACUGCUGUGGCUAGAGUCCGGUAGGGGAGCAUGGAAUUCCUGGUGCAGCGGUGAAAUGCGCAGAUAUCAGGAGGAACACCAGUGGCGAAGGCGGUGCUCUGGGCCGGAACUGACGCUGAGGAGCGAAAGCGUGGGGAGCAAACAGG